Molecule: ribosomal RNA, 569 nt
Filed under: Prothalotia suturalis
Lineage: Eukaryota; Metazoa; Mollusca; Gastropoda; Trochida; Trochidae
Description: Jujubinus suturalis partial 16S ribosomal RNA
Rfam family: Bacterial large subunit ribosomal RNA
Source: RNAcentral
GUCUCUUUGGAUGGGUGAUAAUUUAAAAUAUAAGGAGUCGGACCUGCCCGGUGACUAAGUGUUAAACGGCCGCGGUACCCUAACCGUGCAAAGGUAGCAUAAUCAUUUGCCUUUUAAUUGAAGGCUGGUAUGAAUGGUUUGACGAGAGCUAGGCUGUCUCUUUCGAAAUAUUUAGAAUUUAACUUUUAGGUGAAGAGGCCUAAAUUUAUUUAAGGGACAAGAAGACCCUAUUGAGCUUUAGUGGUGCUGGCAAUAUAAAAGUAAUUUUGUCUCUGUAGUAGUUACAAGUUUAAUUGCUCGUUAGAUCUUUAGUUGGGGCGACUGAGGAACACAUUAAGCUUCCUCUAAUUUAGUUGAUUAAGUGAACUAGAGACUGCAGUUUAUAUAAUUCAUACGUGUUAUUUGAUCCAAAUUGAUUUGAUCAGAGGAAAAAGUUACCAUAGGGAUAACAGCGUAAUCUUUCUGGAGAGAUCUAAUCGAAAGAAAGGUUUGCGACCUCGAUGUUGGACUAAGAUAUCCCAAGGGCGCAGAAGCUCUUGAAGGUUGGUCUGUUCGACCAUUAAAAUCUU